GAGUUUGAUCCUGGCUCAGGAUGAACGCUGGCGGCGUGCCUAACACAUGCAAGUCGAACGCAGGGCUUCGGCCCUGAGUGGCGGACGGGUGCGUAACACGUGGGGAUCUGCCCUGAAGUGGGGGACAACAGCCGGAAACGGCUGCUAAUACCGCAUGAGGCCUUUGGGUCAAAGCAGCAAUGCGCUUCAGGAGGAACCUGCGGCCUAUCAGCUCGUUGGAGGGGUAACGGCCCACCAAGGCGAUGACGGGUAGCUGGCCUGAGAGGGUGGUCAGCCACAUGGGGACUGAGAGACGGCCCCAACUCCUACGGGAGGCAGCAGUGAGGGAUCUUGCACAAUGGGCGAAAGCCUGAUGCAGCAACGCCGCGUGGAGGAUAACGGCCUUCGGGUUGUAAACUCCUUUUCAGGGGGAGCAGUAAGGAGAGUACCCCUGGAAGAAGUCACGGCUAACUACGUGCCAGCAGCCGCGGUAAUACGUAGGUGGCAAGCGUUAUCCGGAAUUACUGGGCGUAAAGGGUCCGCAGGUGGGACGAAUAGUCCGGUGUGACACCCCUCGGCUCAACUGGGGGAGGCCAUUGGAAACUGUCGUUCUUGAGUCACGGAGAGGGGUGCGGAAUUCCGGGUGUAGUGGUGGAAUGCGUAGAGAUCCGGAGGAACACCAGAGGCGCAAGCGGCACCCUGGCUGCUGACUGACACUGAGGGACGAAAGCGUGGGGAGCAAACAGGAUUAGAUACCCUGGUAGUCCACGCGGUAAACGAUGUGUGCUAGGUGUCUGGGGACUAGACCCCCUGGGCGCCGC
RNAcentral lists this ribosomal RNA (800 nucleotides) under uncultured bacterium. Its description in RNAcentral is "bacterial SSU rRNA". It matches the Rfam family "Bacterial small subunit ribosomal RNA", at positions 9 to 849 of the family's 1533-position model. The record is from RNAcentral.